UUGAACGCUGGCGGCAUGCCUUACACAUGCCAGUCGCACGGCAGCACGGGUGCUUGCACCUGGUGGCGAGUGGCGAACGGGUGAGUAAUACAUCGGAACAUGUCCUGUAGUGGGGGAUAGCCCGGCGAAAGCCGGAUUAAUACCGCAUACGAUCUACGGAUGAAAGCGGGGGACCUUCGGGCCUCGCGCUAUAGGGUUGGCCGAUGGCUGAUUAGCUAGUUGGUGGGGUAAAGGCCUACCAAGGCGACGAUCAGUAGCUGGUCUGAGAGGACGACCAGCCACACUGGGACUGAGACACGGCCCAGACUCCUACGGGAGGCAGCAGUGGGGAAUUUUGGACAAUGGGCGAAAGCCUGAUCCAGCAAUGCCGCGUGUGUGAAGAAGGCCUUCGGGUUGUAAAGCACUUUUGUCCGGAAAGAAAUCCUUGGCCCUAAUACGGUCGGGGGAUGACGGUACCGGAAGAAUAAGCACCGGCUAACUACGUG
Molecule: ribosomal RNA, 485 nt
Filed under: uncultured bacterium
Lineage: Bacteria
Description: partial 16S ribosomal RNA
Rfam family: Bacterial small subunit ribosomal RNA
Source: RNAcentral